This 253-nucleotide ribosomal RNA is filed under the name uncultured bacterium. RNAcentral's name for it is "partial 16S ribosomal RNA". It matches the Rfam family "Bacterial small subunit ribosomal RNA", at positions 524 to 776 of the family's 1533-position model. The record is from RNAcentral.
UACGUAGGGGGCAAGCGUUGUCCGGAAUCAUUGGGCGUAAAGCGCGCGUAGGCGGCCCGGUAAGUCCGCUCUGAAAGUCCAGGGCUUAACCCUGGAAAGCGGGUGGAUACUGCCGGGCUUGAAUCCGGAAGAGGCGAGUGGAAUUCCUGGUGUAGCGGUGGAAUGCGCAGAUAUCAGGAGGAACACCAAUAGCGAAGGCAGCUCGCUGGGACGGUAUUGACGCUAAGGCGUGAAAGCGUGGGGAGCAAACAGG